This 340-nucleotide RNase P RNA is filed under the name Chloroflexota bacterium. Its description in RNAcentral is "Chloroflexi bacterium (anaerobic digester metagenome) RNase P RNA component class A". It matches the Rfam family "Bacterial RNase P class A". Rfam says of the family: Ribonuclease P (RNase P) is a ubiquitous endoribonuclease, found in archaea, bacteria and eukarya as well as chloroplasts and mitochondria. Its best characterised activity is the generation of mature 5'-ends of tRNAs by cleaving the 5'-leader elements of precursor-tRNAs. Cellular RNase Ps are ribonucleoproteins. The record is from RNAcentral. Lineage: Bacteria; Bacillati; Chloroflexota.
CAGGUUGAUUGGAUGUGCGCGCUCGCCCCAGAGUGAGGAAAGUCCGUACACCAUAGAGCGGGAUGCCAGGUAACACCUGGAAAGGCGUAAGCUUUUGGAUCGGGCCACAGAAACAUACCGCGUUCGCGGAACGUAAGGUUGAAAAGGUGGUGUAAGAGACCACCGGCGGGUUUGGUAACAAGCCCGGCCAGGUAACCCCCAUCCGGUGCAAGGUCAAACAGAAAAGAGAGUUUGCUCGGCUCAUUUGAUUUUCGGGUAGACCGCAAGAGCGUAUCGGUGACGAUUCGCCAAGAUAGAUGCAUGUCCUCGACAGAAUACGGCUUACAGAUCAACCUGAACA